RNAcentral lists this transfer RNA (72 nucleotides) under Caudoviricetes sp. RNAcentral describes it as "tRNA-Gln". It matches the Rfam family "tRNA". From Rfam's summary of the family: Transfer RNA (tRNA) molecules are approximately 80 nucleotides in length. Their secondary structure includes four short double-helical elements and three loops (D, anti-codon, and T loops). The record is from RNAcentral. Lineage: Duplodnaviria; Heunggongvirae; Uroviricota; Caudoviricetes.
UGCCGAGUAGCCAAGCGGAAAGGCAACAGAUUUUGAUUCUGUGAAUCGUAUGUUCAAAUCAUACCUCGGUAG